Molecule: transfer RNA, 75 nt
Filed under: Leptolyngbya sp. Cla-17
Lineage: Bacteria; Bacillati; Cyanobacteriota; Cyanophyceae; Leptolyngbyales; Leptolyngbyaceae
Rfam family: tRNA
About the family: Transfer RNA (tRNA) molecules are approximately 80 nucleotides in length.
Source: Rfam by way of RNAcentral
GGGGGUGUAGCUUAGCUGGUCAAAAGCGAUCGCCUGUCGAGCGAAAGAUCGUGGGUUCAAAUCCCAUCAUCCCCG